This 767-nucleotide ribosomal RNA is filed under the name Streptococcus oralis subsp. tigurinus. RNAcentral's name for it is "bacterial SSU rRNA". It matches the Rfam family "Bacterial small subunit ribosomal RNA", at positions 37 to 787 of the family's 1533-position model. The record is from RNAcentral. Lineage: Bacteria; Bacillati; Bacillota; Bacilli; Lactobacillales; Streptococcaceae.
UGGCGGCGUGCCUAAUACAUGCAAGUAGAACGCUGAAGAGAGGAGCUUGCUCUUCUUGGAUGAGUUGCGAACGGGUGAGUAACGCGUAGGUAACCUGCCUGGUAGCGGGGGAUAACUAUUGGAAACGAUAGCUAAUACCGCAUAAAAUGGAUUAUCGCAUGAUAAUUCAUUGAAAGGUGCAAAUGCAUCACUACCAGAUGGACCUGCGUUGUAUUAGCUAGUUGGUGGGGUAACGGCUCACCAAGGCGACGAUACAUAGCCGACCUGAGAGGGUGAUCGGCCACACUGGGACUGAGACACGGCCCAGACUCCUACGGGAGGCAGCAGUAGGGAAUCUUCGGCAAUGGACGGAAGUCUGACCGAGCAACGCCGCGUGAGUGAAGAAGGUUUUCGGAUCGUAAAGCUCUGUUGUAAGAGAAGAACGAGUGUGAGAGUGGAAAGUUCACACUGUGACGGUAUCUUACCAGAAAGGGACGGCUAACUACGUGCCAGCAGCCGCGGUAAUACGUAGGUCCCGAGCGUUGUCCGGAUUUAUUGGGCGUAAAGCGAGCGCAGGCGGUUAGAUAAGUCUGAAGUUAAAGGCUGUGGCUUAACCAUAGUACGCUUUGGAAACUGUUUAACUUGAGUGCAAGAGGGGAGAGUGGAAUUCCAUGUGUAGCGGUGAAAUGCGUAGAUAUAUGGAGGAACACCGGUGGCGAAAGCGGCUCUCUGGCUUGUAACUGACGCUGAGGCUCGAAAGCGUGGGGAGCAAACAGGAUUAGAUACCC